Molecule: ribosomal RNA, 482 nt
Filed under: uncultured bacterium
Lineage: Bacteria
Description: partial 16S ribosomal RNA
Rfam family: Bacterial small subunit ribosomal RNA
Source: RNAcentral
GAUGAACGCUAGCGGCAGGCCUAAUACAUGCAAGUCGGACGGGAUUCAGGAGCUUGCUUCUGAUGAGAGUGGCGCACGGGCGCGUAACACGUAUGUAACCUACCUUUAUCAGGGGGAUAGCCUCUCGAAAGAGAGAUUAAGCCCGCAUAAAAUCACAGCACAGCAUUGUGUAAUGAUCAAAUAUUUAUAGGAUAAAGAUGGGCAUGCGGAACAUUAGCUAGAUGGCGGGGUAACGGCCCACCAUGGCGACGAUGUUUAGGGGAUCUGAGAGGAUGGCCCCCCACACUGGUACUGAGACACGGACCAGACUCCUACGGGAGGCAGCAGUAAGGAAUAUUGGUCAAUGGGCGGAAGCCUGAACCAGCCAUGCCGCGUGCAGGAAGACGGCCCUACGGGUUGUAAACUGCUUUUAUACGGGAAUAAACCCAGAUACGUGUAUCUGGCUGAAUGUACUGUAAGAAUAAGGAUCGGCUAACUCCGUG